This is a long non-coding RNA of Ictalurus punctatus (channel catfish), 741 nucleotides long. Lineage: Eukaryota; Metazoa; Chordata; Actinopteri; Siluriformes; Ictaluridae. The record is from Ensembl.
CGAAAAACCACUUUCCCUUGGCUCCUAGCGCCUUCUCGUUCACUGUAUAGCGUUUUGAGCGGAUAAAGAGCACAAGUGUGCAUGGAGACACAGGAUGAAUGGGAACAAGUUUUGUUAUUGCACUUUUGAUGAAAAGUGACUUUCUAGACAUAAAAUGUCACUUUUUUCACCUUAUCAUACUUUUUCAUCAACUUUUGCAUUUUAAUGUAAACAAUCAUAUUUCGUAAUAUUUUGGGUCAGAAACAUUUCAUAGUACUAUAUUAUGUCUAAAUAUGUGAAAAGAAUCAAAUUGGAGUAGGUCGGGCAACUGAUUAUAUGAGUUUGUUCGAAAAACCACUUUCCUUGGUCCUAGCGCCUUCUCGUUCACUGUAUAGCGUUUUGAGCGGAUAAAGAGCACAAGUGUGCAUGGAGACACAGGAUGAAUGGGAACAAGUUUUGUUAUUGCACUUUUGAUGAAAAGUGACUUUCUAGACAUAAAAUGUCACUUUUUUCACCUUAUCAUACUUUUUCAUCAACUUUUGCAUUUUAAUGUAAACAAUCAUAUUUCGUAAUAUUUUGGGUCAGAAACAUUUCAUAGUACUAUACUAUGUCUAAAUAUGUGAAAAGAAUCAAAUUGGAGUAGGUCGGGCAACUGAUUAUGAGUUUGUUCGAAAAACCACUUUCCUUUGCUCCUAGCGCCUUCUCGUUCGCUGUAUAGCGUUUUGAGCGGAUAAAGAGCACAAGUGUGCAUGGAGACACAGG